Molecule: ribosomal RNA, 1376 nt
Filed under: Acinetobacter baumannii
Lineage: Bacteria; Pseudomonadati; Pseudomonadota; Gammaproteobacteria; Moraxellales; Moraxellaceae
Description: partial 23S ribosomal RNA
Rfam family: Bacterial large subunit ribosomal RNA
Source: RNAcentral
GUCAAGUAAUUAAGUGCAUGUGGUGGAUGCCUUGGCAGUCAGAGGCGAUGAAAGACGUGAUAGCCUGCGAAAAGCUCCGGGGAGGCGGCAAAUAUCCUUUGAUCCGGAGAUGUCUGAAUGGGGGAACCCACCUACUUUAAGGUAGGUAUUGCAACAUGAAUACAUAGUGUUGCAAGGCGAACGAGGGGAAGUGAAACAUCUCAGUACCCUUAGGAAAAGAAAUCAAUUGAGAUUCCCUCAGUAGCGGCGAGCGAACGGGGAUCAGCCCAUUAAGUUAUGUGUGUUUUAGUGGAACGCUCUGGGAAGUGCGAACGUAGAGGGUGAUAUUCCCGUACACGAAAGGGCACACAUAAUGAUGACGAGUAGGGCGAGGCACGUGAAACCUUGUCUGAAUAUGGGGGGACCAUCCUCCAAGGCUAAAUACUCCUGACUGACCGAUAGUGAACCAGUACCGUGAGGGAAAGGCGAAAAGAACCCCUGUGAGGGGAGUGAAAUAGAUCCUGAAACCGCAUGCAUACAAGCAGUGGGAGCACCUUCGUGGUGUGACUGCGUACCUUUUGUAUAAUGGGUCAGCGACUUAUAUUCAGUAGCGAGGUUAACCGUAUAGGGGAGCCGUAGAGAAAUCGAGUCUUAAUAGGGCGUUUAGUUGCUGGGUAUAGACCCGAAACCAGGCGAUCUAUCCAUGAGCAGGUUGAAGGUUGGGUAACACUAACUGGAGGACCGAACCCACUGUCGUUGAAAAGCCAGGGGAUGACUUGUGGAUAGGGGUGAAAGGCUAAUCAAGCCUGGUGAUAGCUGGUUCUCCCCGAAAGCUAUUUAGGUAGCGCCUCGGACGAAUACCAUAGGGGGUAGAGCACUGUUUCGGCUAGGGGGUCAUCCCGACUUACCAAACCGAUGCAAACUCCGAAUACCUAUGAGUACUAUCCGGGAGACAGACUGCGGGUGCUAACGUCCGUAGUCAAGAGGAAAACAAUCCAGACCGCCAGCUAAGGCCCCAAAAUCAUAGUUAAGUGGGAAACGAUGUGGGAAGGCAUAGACAGCUAGGAGGUUGGCUUAGAAGCAGCCACCCUUUAAAGAAAGCGUAAUAGCUCACUAGUCGAGUCGGCCUGCGCGGAAGAUGUAACGGGGCUAAAACUAUGUGCCGAAGCUGCGGAUGUAUACUUUGUAUACGUGGUAGGGGAGCGUUCUGUAAGCCGAUGAAGGUGUGUUGAGAAGCAUGCUGGAGGUAUCAGAAGUGCGAAUGCUGACGUGAGUAACGACAAAACGGGUGAAAAACCCGUUCGCCGAAAGACCAAGGGUUCCAGUCCAACGUUAAUCGGGGCUGGGUGAGUCGACCCCUAAGGCGAGGCCGAAAGGCGUAGUCGAUGGGAAAAUGG